Molecule: ribosomal RNA, 241 nt
Filed under: uncultured Staphylococcus sp.
Lineage: Bacteria; Bacillati; Bacillota; Bacilli; Caryophanales; Staphylococcaceae
Description: partial 16S ribosomal RNA
Rfam family: Bacterial small subunit ribosomal RNA
Source: RNAcentral
UACGUAGGUGGCAAGCGUUAUCCGGAAUUAUUGGGCGUAAAGCGCGCGUAGGCGGUUUUUUAAGUCUGAUGCGAGAGCCCACGGCUCAACCGUGGAGGGUCAUUGGAAACUGGAAAACUUGAGUGCAGAAGAGGAAAGUGGAAUUCCAUGUGUAGCGGUGAAAUGCGCAGAGAUAUGGAGGAACACCAGUGGCGAAGGCGACUUUCUGGUCUGUAACUGACGCUGAUGUGCGAAAGCGUGG